RNAcentral lists this ribosomal RNA (468 nucleotides) under uncultured bacterium. Its description in RNAcentral is "partial 16S ribosomal RNA". It matches the Rfam family "Bacterial small subunit ribosomal RNA", at positions 28 to 507 of the family's 1533-position model. The record is from RNAcentral.
GACGAACGCUGGCGGCGUGCUUAACACAUGCAAGUCGAACGGAAAGGCCCUGCUUUUGUGGGGUGCUCGAGUGGCGAACGGGUGAGUAACACGUGAGUAACCUGCCCUUGACUUUGGGAUAACUUCAGGAAACUGGGGCUAAUACCGGAUAGGAGCUCCUGCUGCAUGGGGGGGGUUGGAAAGUUUCGGCGGUUGGGGAUGGACUCGCGGCUUAUCAGCUUGUUGGUGGGGUAGUGGCUUACCAAGGCUUUGACGGGUAGCCGGCCUGCGAGGGUGACCGGCCACAUUGGGCCUGAGAUACGGCCCAGCCUCCUACGGGAGGCAGCGGUGGGGAAUAUUGCACAAUGGGCGGAAGCCUGAUGCAGCAACGCCGCGUGCGUGAUGACGGCCUUCGGGUUGUAAACCGCUUUCGCCUGAGACGAAGCGUGAGUGACGGUAAUGGGUAAAGAAGCACCGGCUAACUACGUG